GUUGGGAAUCCGGUACACGCCCUGGUACCGGAUCUCGACAAUCCGCAACCCGCUGUGGUACUGACUGCUGUGGAUCCGGUAUCGAUUGUUGGGAUUCCGCAACGGAAGCGUCGAAUCCGGUUUUUACCAUAAACCCGUCUCCUCAGCAAAAGCUUUCUCUCGUCUUCUAUAAACCCACAAAGAAGACCUCUCCGCAUGUACCCGUGAACAAGGUGCACUAAAAUAACUCUCUCUCUCUUUUCUCUCCUGGUACGACACCCCAAUGAUUCCAGCCGUACUCCCUUUAAAAAAGAGAACCACAAUGCCUAUUUAUAAUGCUCAACUUAAAACGUACCCCAAUCCUAAUAUAUUUAGGAUUCAUACUUUAAUUAAUAUCUAAAUCUAUCUUAAUCAAUCUCUAAUAGAUUUAAAUAUUAAUCCUAAUCUAGUUAGGUUUAUCCUCUAAUUAAUAUUUAAAUCUUAAUUUAUCUCAAACAGAUUUAAAUAUUAAUUCUUAUCCAAAUAGGAUUUAACUACAAAUCUAACCAAAUCCUAACAUUCUCCACCUUGGUUUGAUUUGUAAUUUUCAACCGCUACGUCGAGCUCACCAUGCAAGCUCCACCUUGAGCUUGUCUCCUCCGCUCGAUGUCGCCGCAUCCGUCGCUCCGUCUCGAGCAACUGCACAUCCGCGAACUUUUGGAACCAAAACCAUCUUCGCUCCCGUUCUGGCUGUGCUCCCAUUCAGAACGUAUAAGUUCCCACGCUUGUUCGCCUCGCAUACGACCCGAUCUCGUUUUCGGACUCUCACAGCUCCACCUGAAGCUGAAAUAUCGCAACCCUUCGAGUCCAAUGUGCCUAACGAGAUCAAAUUCCGCUUCAAUUCAGGAACAUGCCGCACACCUGUCAGCGUCCUCACGACCCCAUCGUGCAUUCGGAUUUUCACCAUGCCGACUCCCAAUACUUUGCACGCUGUCCCGUUCCCCAUCAGCGCCUUUCCACCUUUGAUCGUCUUAUAGGUGGCAAAAGACUCAUUCUCCGGGCAUACGUGAAAAGAACACGCUGAAUCGAGCACCCAUGCAUCGUCCAAAAUUUUCGCACCUCCGGUCGCCGCAUACAGUACAUCAGAAUCGAUCAUCUCCGACUCUGCUGUCUGCGCCGUCGCUGAUACCGUCUCGUCCUGGUUCACGACAGUUUGCUCCUUCUGUCGCUUUAACUCCUUUAGAUCAUCCUGAAGUUUUCGACAAUUGCGCUUGACAUGCCCCUUCCUGUGACAAUAAAAGCAUUCUACCUCAAAUAGCGGUUUCUUCUGUUGAUAUCCGGUCGCCGAUAUUCUCGUCUCUUUCUUCGCAGUCACCACCAGUCCUACAUCCUGACUUUGCGUGCCGGACUCUUAAGUCAUCUUCCGCAUCUCGUUCGAGAGAAGCGCCGCCGUGACCGCCUCCACGCUUAUGGACUCCUUGCCAUAAAGCAACGUGGUCACCAAAUGCUCAUAUGUCGUCGGUAGCGAAGAUAGUAGGAUCAACGCCUUGUCUUCGUCAUCCAGAUUGACUUCGAUGCUGGUCAAUUGGGCCACCACCUUGUUGAACUCAUUUAGAUGAUCAUGUAGGCUCGCCGCUUCUUACAUCUGCAACGUAAACAGUCGCUGCUUCAGAUACAAUCUGCUCGUCAGGGAUUUGGUCAUGUACAGAUCUUUCAAUUUCUUCCACAAUUUCGUCGGUGUCGUCUCGCCGGCUACAUUGUAAAAAACCUCAUCUGCUAAUGAUAGAUGAAGCGUACUCAGCGCCUUCCGCUCUAUCUUCGUCCAUGCCGCAUCCGUGACCUCCGCCGGCUUUGCCUCCUUCCCGUUCAUCGUGUCGUCUAACUCUUGCUGUACGAGGAUUGCUUGUACUUUAAUUUGUCAUAAUCCGAAAUUGUUCUUGCCGUCGAACUUCUCGAUUUCGAAUUUCGUGGCCAUCUCCGUCGAUCUCUCCUGCAGAUCGGUAACCUUCGGCUCUGAUACCAAUUGUUGGGAAUCCGGUACUCGCCCCGGUACCGGAUCUCGACAAUCCGCAAUCCGUUGUGGUACCGACUGCUGUAGAUCCGGUAUCGAUUGUUGGGAUUCCGCAACGGAAGCGUCGAAUCCGGUUUUUACCAUAAACCCGUCUCCUCAGCAAAAGCUUUCUCUCGUCUUCUAUAAACCCACAAAGAAGACCUCUCCGUGUGUACCCGUGAACAAGGUGCACUAAAAUAACUCUCUCUCUCUUUUCUCUCCUGGUACGACACCCCAAUGAUUCCAGCCGUACUCCCUUUAAAAAAGAGAGCCACAAUGCCUAUUUAUAAUGCUCAACUUAAAACGUACCCCAAUCCUAAUAUAUUUAGAAUUCAUACUUUAAUUAAUAUCUAAAUCUAUCUUAAUCAAUCUCUAAUAGAUUUAAAUAUUAAUCAUAAUCUAGUUAGGUUUAUCCUCUAAUUAAUAUUUAAAUUUUAAUUUAUCUCAAACAAAUUUAAAUAUUAAUUCUUAUCCAAAUAGGAUUUAACUACAAAUCUAACCAAAUCCUAACACUUACUGUAUUGCUACU
RNAcentral lists this long non-coding RNA (2537 nucleotides) under Ananas comosus (pineapple). RNAcentral's name for it is "long non-coding RNA (ACOM_LNC025489)". The record is from RNAcentral. Lineage: Eukaryota; Viridiplantae; Streptophyta; Magnoliopsida; Poales; Bromeliaceae.